Gorilla gorilla gorilla (western lowland gorilla) is the source of this 147-nucleotide non-coding RNA. It matches the Rfam family "Metazoan signal recognition particle RNA". Rfam says of the family: The signal recognition particle (SRP) is a universally conserved ribonucleoprotein. It is involved in the co-translational targeting of proteins to membranes. NCBI's taxonomy places the organism in Eukaryota, Metazoa, Chordata, Mammalia, Primates, Hominidae. The record is from Rfam.
GCCGGGUGUGGUGGUGCAUGCCUGUAGUCCCAGCUACUUGGAGGCUGAGGUAGGAGAAUCGCUUGAGUCCAGGAGGUCGAGGCUGCAGUGAACCAUGAUCGUGCCACUGCUCUCCAGCCUGGGUGACGGAGUGAGAUCCCAUCUCCA